RNAcentral lists this long non-coding RNA (201 nucleotides) under Physcomitrium patens. RNAcentral's name for it is "long non-coding RNA (PPAT_LNC010056)". The record is from RNAcentral. Lineage: Eukaryota; Viridiplantae; Streptophyta; Bryopsida; Funariales; Funariaceae.
GGUGGGAGGAUCAAAUCUUUUUCAAAUAAGUGAAGAACAUGCAAAUGUUGCUCUUCUUGCUGAUCUGUUAUCUUUGUGUGAUGCAUUAAAGUCUCAAGAUGCAAUUAAGUGGAAGAAGGCUAUAGAAGAAUUGUAUGAAUUUUUUAUAGACAAUGAUACAUGAGAAUAUACACCCCUUUUAGCAAAUCGAUUCAGUAUUGG